MicroRNA precursor from Oryza sativa Japonica Group (Japanese rice), 206 nucleotides. It matches the Rfam family "MIR812 microRNA precursor family". NCBI's taxonomy places the organism in Eukaryota, Viridiplantae, Streptophyta, Magnoliopsida, Poales, Poaceae. The record is from Rfam.
AAAAAGACAAACCUUGGGUUUCUGUGUCCAACUUUAACUGUCUGUCUUAUAUGAAAUUUUUUUAUAAUUCGUAUUUUUAUUGUUGUUAGAUGAUAAAACAUGAUUAAUACUUUGAAAGUGACUUGUCUUUUUAAUUUUUUUCAUAAUUUUUUCAAAUAAGACGGACGAUAAAACGUUGGGCACGGAAACCAGGAUUUGUCCUUUUU